ACUCCUGAGAGGUUGAGGCCGUUGUGGUCGGAAGAAGGUGUGGACCGCGGAGCUCAGCGAAGGAGCCGCGGGGAAUAGCUGACGUGGGUGGAGCGCCAGGCCAUCCUUCCUCCCGCCCGGAUCCGGCCGCCGGGCCAUAAAGUCGCCCCAUAUGGCCAGGGGCGGCCCCACACCCGGGUGCGAACAACCCGGGGCCCCCGAGCCUCGCGUGCAGACACUUUAUCCUGAAGCCUCCGAGUGUUCACGCAUCAUUCUGCAGAGAGUCAUGUUCUUGAUUUGAGGCAGAGCUCCAGGAGAAUCGGACAGAUCCACCAGCAGGAGGCGAAUUUGGGGUGAAGGUGUAUAAGACCCAGUCUGGGGGUUGAGGGGUGCGGAACUUUAUUUUUCAGGGUCGGUGGGG
Long non-coding RNA from Suricata suricatta (meerkat), 400 nucleotides. RefSeq lists it as uncharacterized. The transcript has 3 exons. The record is from RefSeq and is a predicted model, not a curated record. Lineage: Eukaryota; Metazoa; Chordata; Mammalia; Carnivora; Herpestidae.